RNAcentral lists this ribosomal RNA (896 nucleotides) under Isochrysis galbana. RNAcentral describes it as "partial Bacterial large subunit ribosomal RNA". It matches the Rfam family "Bacterial large subunit ribosomal RNA", at positions 3 to 852 of the family's 2925-position model. Lineage: Eukaryota; Haptophyta; Isochrysidales; Isochrysidaceae. The record is from RNAcentral.
UCAAGUUUCUAAGAGCAAACGGUGGAUGCCUUGGCAUCUGGAGCCGAAGAAGGACGUAGCAAUCUGCGAUAAGCCUCGGGGAGCUGAUAAGCGAGCUUUGAGCCGAGGAUUUCCGAAUGGGGAAACCCCGCUGGGCGCACUUGUGCGACCUAGUGACUCCCGCCUGAAUAUAUAGGGCGGGUAGAGGGAACGUGGGGAAGUGAAACAUCUCAGUACCCACAGGAAGAGAAAACAACAGUGAUUCCGUCAGUAGUGGCGAGCGAACGCGGAUCAGGCUAAACCGAUCAUGUGUGAUAGCCGGCAGGCGUUGCAUGGUCGGGGUUGUGGGACUUUCCCGCUGCUCUGCCGAGCAGCAAGGGUUACAGCGCGAUAUAGACGAAUGGUCUUGAAAGGCCAGUCACAGAGGGUGCCAACCCCGUAGUCGAAAUGUCGUAAUGGCCCGGAGAGUAUCCCAAGUAGCACGGGGCCCGAGAAAUCCCGUGUGAAUCUGUCAGGACCACCUGAUAAGCCUAAAUACUCCCAGAUGACCGAUAGCGGACAAGUACCGUGAGGGAAAGGUGAAAAGUACCCCGGGAGGGGAGUGAAAUAGUACCUGAAACCGUUUGCUUACAAACCGUCGGAGCAGCCCUAGUAGCUGUGACGGCGUGCCUUUUGAAGAAUGAGCCUGCGAGUUAGCGAUAUGUGGCGAGGUUAACCCGAGAGGGGUAGCCGUAGCGAAAGCGAGUCUGAAUAGGGCGAUUCAGUCGCAUGUCCUAGACCCGAAGCGAAGUGAUCUAUCCAUGGCCAGGUUGAAGCGACGGUAAGACGUCGUGGAGGACCGAACCCACUUAGGUUAAAAACUGAGGGGAUGAGCUGUGGAUAGGGGUGAAAGGCCAAUCAAACUUCGUGAUAGCUGG